Molecule: ribosomal RNA, 635 nt
Filed under: Arthrobacter sp. Se2Ps_2360
Lineage: Bacteria; Bacillati; Actinomycetota; Actinomycetes; Micrococcales; Micrococcaceae
Description: bacterial SSU rRNA
Rfam family: Bacterial small subunit ribosomal RNA
Source: RNAcentral
GCCUGAUGCAGCGACGCCGCGUGAGGGAUGACGGCCUUCGGGUUGUAAACCUCUUUCAGUAGGGAAGAAGCGAGAGUGACGGUACCUGCAGAAGAAGCGCCGGCUAACUACGUGCCAGCAGCCGCGGUAAUACGUAGGGCGCAAGCGUUAUCCGGAAUUAUUGGGCGUAAAGAGCUCGUAGGCGGUUUGUCGCGUCUGCCGUGAAAGUCCGGGGCUCAACUCCGGAUCUGCGGUGGGUACGGGCAGACUAGAGUGAUGUAGGGGAGACUGGAAUUCCUGGUGUAGCGGUGAAAUGCGCAGAUAUCAGGAGGAACACCGAUGGCGAAGGCAGGUCUCUGGGCAUUAACUGACGCUGAGGAGCGAAAGCAUGGGGAGCGAACAGGAUUAGAUACCCUGGUAGUCCAUGCCGUAAACGUUGGGCACUAGGUGUGGGGGACAUUCCACGUUUUCCGCGCCGUAGCUAACGCAUUAAGUGCCCCGCCUGGGGAGUACGGCCGCAAGGCUAAAACUCAAAGGAAUUGACGGGGGCCCGCACAAGCGGCGGAGCAUGCGGAUUAAUUCGAUGCAACGCGAAGAACCUUACCAAGGCUUGACAUGAACCGGACCGCUGCAGAAAUGUGGUUUCCCCUUUGGGG